Molecule: long non-coding RNA, 1854 nt
Filed under: Calidris pugnax (ruff)
Lineage: Eukaryota; Metazoa; Chordata; Aves; Charadriiformes; Scolopacidae
Description: lncRNA (ENSCPUG00000019759.1)
Source: RNAcentral
GAAACAACAACAGGGAGGUGAUUUAGCAGUCUUCAGCAAAGCAGUACAGAUCUUGAGUCUGAGAUGCUCACACCCAUUAAACCACUAUAUUACCUAAGCUAUCUCAGAUCUCCAUCUUCCCAUGGAGGAGUGGAGUUCCUGGAGGGAAGUAGAUCUGCGUCUGGUCUGCAACCCAACAGAAAGUUGCAGGUUGCUGUGAUGACACCCUGUGUUUCCAGCACAGAGCUAAAAUGAAUAUUCUGAAACCUGAGUCAAACCAUUCUGCAAACCUGUAAGCGUUAAUUCCCGAAAUAAACACACUGAUUUUCUCCUCGACUUACCUCCUUUUAACAUGUCUCUAAGUGCUUAUGGAGUGUCCCUACCCCAAGGGUCCUUAUGCUGCAGGGAUUUUUGAUUGACAGAAAGGUGUAAUCCAGCUACCACAUUUAGUCCAUUUCCUCCAGAGUCUGAGUUUUAAAAUAAUGCAUCAAAAGCCACAGCUAUGGCUGACAAAACCAAGAGACCCACUGACUGCCAGAGGUACUUCAAGUCUACUAUCAGUUGCCAUUGCUAAUCCAUGAAAAUGUUUGCAUCCUGUCGAGCUAGGAAUUUGACUGAAAUGGCUUGUGGAACAUUCUUCUUUUCUGGAUUUCAUGUCGCCUCAUGCUUAGUAAAUAUUCUCUCUCUUCUUGAUACAAUCGGGUGGUUGCUGAGAGUCACUCCAGGAGCACAAUCUGGAUUUCAAGUCAAUUCAGUUGAGCGGGACUUAGCGUAAAAGUGCAGUGGCACCAGCAGAAGUGCAGAAAGGGCUGUGGAGAGGAGCUUCUCUGCUCCAGCCACCCAUGGCUGUGGGAACAGCCGUGGAUAUGUGGCCGUCCAUUAGAUGACUCUGAAGUCAGCAGAGCUUUGGAAGUGGCUGCUGUGUUCAGAGAGUACCUGUGUGUGUGCAUGACAUGGGAGCAGUUCAAAGCCACAAGCAGCUGCUGGAACCAUUCCCAAUCCAGUUCCCACUUCACAGAAGCACAGUACCUCCCUGUAUCCUUGGGGGAAGACAAGUUCCUCCUGCUGUCAGCCUGCAAGAAAUAAGGUUUCUGCAUGGAAGAAGAGGACUGUCCCAGCUGACAAGUGCAAAAUGGAGGCAGAGAGAAAUCACACUAAAAAGACUUGCUGAAGGACUUGUAGCCAAGAUCAAAUCUGGAUAGAUCUAUAUUACUGUAAUUUUUUCAGAGGUACUUUUGACACGUAUCAUUAAGGAAGAUCUAUGUCUCAAGUUUACCACAAGAUGGAGGUGCUGUAACUCAGAAUCGCUCAUUAAGGGAAAUUAAGGAAAAUGGUAGGUGUUUUACAACGGGCACUGUAAAUUUUUAUGGACAUAUUUAAGAAAGUAAUCAAAAAUAAUUGUAUGCAACCGUGUCAUAUUAUCUUGUUAAUUUAUUUUAAGCAAACUAUGUAAUGACAUAUCUAACCAUCUUUGGACCAGGACUAGUUCAAAAUGCCUCAGCAUUGCUUUUAAAUUACUGAAUGCUGCAGAUACUAUUCUGAGUCCCAUAUCCAUUGGAGGUGGAGAUGGCUGAUAAUGUAACUUCUUCAAAAGCAUCCAAAGUGAUGGCUGCCGGAGUCAGGUGGGUGCCACCUUCUUGGACAUAUUAUUCUGAAAUGAUCUUUCCCUAAAUUGAGCCUUCUGGAGCUUGGCACUAACCAAAAGAGAUGAUAAAGGAUGUUUUUGUCUGUAACAAGUAUAGGUCUGAUUGUGCUCUGACCUCCAUCAGAAGACCCAGGAUGGUGUUUGCCAUCAAAACGUUCUGAAACUGCUAAAUAAGUCAUGAUUAUAGUGUAGCUCACUUGCUUGUAAUAAAAGUUGCUGAAGCAGAGACA